GAUGAACUUUGGCGGCGUGCUUAACACAUGCAAGUCGAACGAAGCACUUUAAUUGAUUUCUUCGGAAUGAAGUUUUUGUGACUGAGUGGCGGACGGGUGAGUAACGCGUGGGUAACCUGCCUCAUACAGGGGGAUAACAGUUGGAAACGACUGCUAAUACCGCAUAAGCGCACAGGAUUGCAUGAUCCAGUGUGAAAAACUCCGGUGGUAUGAGAUGGACCCGCGUCUGAUUAGCCAGUUGGCGGGGUAACGGCCCACCAAAGCGACGAUCAGUAGCCGACCUGAGAGGGUGACCGGCCACAUUGGGACUGAGACACGGCCCAAACUCCUACGGGAGGCAGCAGUGGGGAAUAUUGCACAAUGGGGGAAACCCUGAUGCAGCGACGCCGCGUGAGCGAAGAAGUAUUUCGGUAUGUAAAGCUCUAUCGGCAGGGAAGAAGAAUGACGGUACCUGACUAAGAAGCACCGGCUAAAUACGUGCCAGCAGCCGCGGUAAUACGUAUGGUGCAAGCGUUAUCCGGAUUUACUGGGUGUAAAGGGAGCGCAGGCGGUACGGCAAGUCUGAUGUGAAAUCCCGGGGCUCAACCCCGGUACUGCAUUGGAAACUGUCGGACUAGAGUGUCGGAGGGGUAAGUGGAAUUCCUAGUGUAGCGGUGAAAUGCGUAGAUAUUAGGAGGAACACCAGUGGCGAAGGCGGCUUACUGGACGAUUACUGACGCUGAGGCUCGAAAGCGUGGGGAGCAAACAGGAUUAGAUACCCUGGUAGUCCACGCCGUAAAC
RNAcentral lists this ribosomal RNA (780 nucleotides) under uncultured bacterium. RNAcentral describes it as "bacterial SSU rRNA". It matches the Rfam family "Bacterial small subunit ribosomal RNA", at positions 28 to 807 of the family's 1533-position model. The record is from RNAcentral.